This is a long non-coding RNA of Budorcas taxicolor (takin), 156 nucleotides long. RefSeq lists it as uncharacterized. The record is from RefSeq and is a predicted model, not a curated record. Lineage: Eukaryota; Metazoa; Chordata; Mammalia; Artiodactyla; Bovidae. The transcript is spliced from 3 exons.
GGCAAAGUUCCCUGGGCUGAACAUCGCAUCCUUGCAGAGUAUCUGUUGCACAAUGGACAUCCCAUGCUAGUCUUCCUCUGUCUGGCUGACUUCCCUUAGUGUUUGAUCCUCCAAGACAUGUAAGGAUGGCCAGUGUUCUCGCCUGGAGAAUCCCAG